GUAGAAAAAAUAGAGUUUAGGAUGCGGACAAAAUUUUCAAACGCUCAAUUAUCGAUAAACAAAACUUGACGAGGUGGAAAAAUUAGGAGUUUCAUUACGUUUGACCCCAUUACGAAUCGAUUAUUACGUUUAUCUGCGCAGGCCGAGGUCAGGGGUUGAAAAUCUAUCAAUAAACAUAACUUGAAUAGGCGUAAAAACUAGGCAUUUCAGAACUUUUUAAUUACGAACACUUAUUACGUUUGACCCCAUUACGAAUUGACUAUUACGUUUAUCUGCGCAGCCUGAGGUCAGGGGCUGAAACUCUAUCAAUAAACAUAACUUGAAUAGGCGUAAAAACUAGGCAUUUCAGAACUUUUUCAUUACGAACCGACUUUUACGUCUAUCCGAGCAGGUCGAGGCGAGGGCAGCAGCAGCAGCGAGGCGACAUGACAUGACACCAAAUGCAUGAGAAUGACUGACCAUGACGCAAUGAGACACACUAUUCUCCUACUCCGGCACGUAUAAAAAUAUGAUCGAGAGGGUGAACGAAAAAUACAUGAGGGGGAAAAAAUACGAAAGUGACUUAAAACUGAUACAUCGUAAUAAUUAUAUAGACGACAGAGGGGGGGGGUCCGGUAACAGUCCCCCCCAUUGUCUAGUUUUGUACCAUUAUAUUUCACUACGUUAUAACUAGAGCCUCGCGCGGGGCCGAGACUCCCACACACGCACACACAUACACACACACACACACACACACACACACACACACAGUCGCUAGGUAUUAUUACGGAGGAUAGAAAUGAAGGUUGACGGCUCCCUGUACAGACACACUAGAGUUGCCGAGUCCAUCUGUUCUCCUGUAGCAAGACUCUCCUCCUCCUCCUCCUCCUCCUCCUCUUCCUUCACUCUGGUUCUUCUACUUCCUUUUCCUUGUUCUCUCUCUCUCUCUCUCUCUCUCUCUCUCUCUCUCUAUUGAUCUUUUUCUCCUCCUCCUCUCCAGGGUUCCAAUUUUUUGAUCUUUCUCUCUCAAUAUCACUCCACCUUUUUCCUCCACUUCUCUCCCCACUUCUUCAUUAUUUUCCAUUCUUUCUGCGAUCCACUUUCGCUCUCUCUCAUUCUUUCUGCGAUCCGUCUUCUCUCCAUCCGCUGCUGGUUCUUCCUCUUCCGUUCCAUAUUGGGUCAUUUUUUCCGUUCUUUCUGUGAUCCGUUUUCUCUCUCAUUCUUUCUGCAAUCCGUUUUCUCUCCAUCCACUGCGGUUUCUUCCUCCUUUCCAUAAUCUCUUCUUUCUCCACUCCUUUUUCUCAUCCACUUCUGUCUCCUCUUCCACUCUUCCAUUUCCCGUUCCUCCAUUCACGCCCCGCUUUCCUUCCUCCGAGGCACUGCGAGGGGGGGCAUCACGGAGCAGUUCACACCACAAGCAAUAUACCUUUUGAAAGACCCGAGACCCAAGCUUCCUCGUGUCCUCUUGUCGGGAAGCUCUCACCAGCCUCACUAUCUUAACCUGUUGACUGGAGCAGGAUGGAGUUUAUUGACAUCAGAUAGAGAGGCAGAUGUCGCUGGGCAAGACCUGUUUCCUGCAGUGGCCUAGUAAUGGCUGAUGAGGAGGAUUUUCUUUUUUCUACAGCAAAGGAAGCAGUUAAUGGGCCUCCUACUGUUGCCCAAGGGAGAGUACACAAAGUUAAUGUUUAUACUAAGUUACAAGCUGUUUCGUUACCAUGUUUUCCAGCGUGACGUAACAUAGGAGCCGGGAUGAAACAUUCUCUCUCAUGCCUGGCUGGUUUGUUUCCUCCUACUGUUGCCUAAGAGCGAGUACACAAAGUUAAUGUUUAUACGACUUUACAAGCUGUUUCGUUUGACGUUUUCCAGCGUGACGUAAAGGAACCCUAAUAUAACAUUCUCUCUCAUGCCUGCCUGGUUUGUUUCCUCCUACAGUCGCCCAAGAGAGAGUAACAAUGUUUAUACGACUUUACAAGCAGUUUCGUUUGACGUUUUCCAGUGUGACGUAAAGGAACCCUAACAUAACAUUCUCUCUCAUGCCUGCCUGGUUGCCUCCCUCCUACUGUUGCCCAAGGGAGGGUGACAUAAAAAUCCUAUUCCACAAUCAGCGAAUUCAUCACAUAUUUACAAUCAUCAUCCGAGGCAGAAUCUACGCGUUAGAAUCCUCAAUGACAGAGAGGAAAGCUAACCAGAAUCUUCUCUCUCCCAUACCCUGAUUUUCAUUGCUUGCUACAUAUAUGUGUGUGUGUGUGUGUGUGUGUGUGUAAUUCAAGAUCUGAUCACAGUGAACUUGCCACCAGCCAGUACCCAAGUGUGUAUGUGUGUAUGUAUGUGUGUGUGUGUGUGUGUGUAUCUACCAAGUUCUAGUUUUACAGGGCCUGGGCUAUUCGCUCGUGUGGUCCCGUCUCCGUAUCUGCAUAUAUCCAACGUUUCUUUAAAGCUUUGCGCCCUCCUCGUCGAUACUACAUCCUCACUUAAUCCGUUCCAAACCUCUGUAUUUCUUUGCGGGAAGCUAUAUUUCUUUAUGUCUCUCAAGCAUCUUCCCUUCCUCAAUUCUUUACUAUGUCCUCUUGUGUUCCUGGUGGUAAUUUCUUAUUUUAUUAGUAACUCCUCGUUGUCUACUUCUUCCAUUUUGCUCAGUAAUUUGUAGAUUUGUAUUAGGUCUCCCCUUUCUCUUCCUUGUUCUAGUGUUGGUAAGUCCAUUUGUGUGUGUGUUUAUGUGUGUUUGUGUGUGUGUGUGUGUGUGUGUGUGUGUGUGUGUGUGUGUCAUCUCUAUACAGCCUCAACAAAGCCCUGCAGAGGUAUAGGACACAGAGAGCGCGUCCCCUUAACGCAUUCGUCCGACAGCGACCAACCUUUCUACAGACACAAACUUCCGUAACCUAACAAUAGUGGAAGGAACGAAGGGAAAGGGAAGGUCAAGGAUGGGUCAAUAAAUACCUAACACUACAAAGGGAGAGUGGGAAACGGGGUAACUAAAGGUAGGUCAGAAUUGCACAAACACAUAGGAGAGCUCGGGUCAACUCUCCUACUUCCUCAACCGUUCCUGACCUCGCCUGAAUAUAUUAAUCUUAGGAUAAAAUAAAUUACCCUUGACGUUCUCUCUUAUUAGCCUCAGCUUCCUCGUAACUCUGGGAGGUACGAGCCACAGGGAAAAAGACGAAAUGACCUUAAAAAUAAUCAGAAAUAACAUCGUCAUGAACGCGUAGACUAUAUACACACACACAGACACCCUCGCACUUUUCGCUUUUUUCUUUAUUUUUUUCCACUCUGACGGAGAAGCAAGUAUCAAAUCUAACACUCUCCCUUCAUCAGACGUUCCAUUUGUUUAUUAUUAUUAUAUUACACAUGACGAAACCGAUGGCAGGACUGGGGGGGCCAAGCCAGGAGAGGCGCGUCGCCGUGAAAUAAUCGAACGAAAGAAAUGCGAACGGAGAACAACUUAAUAUUCACCGCAGGACUUCCGCUAAAUUUCUGCGUCACUGCUCUCGACCCCCGUACAAAAAUAGUCAAUUCCGCCCUGCGCUGAAACGCUGCGACGGCCCUUUCUGGCAUGGCCCCGUCCUGCCCCUAGGGGAGACACACUAGUCACACCUCACAAGGACUUUCAGGGACGUUGACUGCGCUGAAAAACCUCGGCAAAUGCACAAACCAAGACUCAGAACGCCGAACCAAGCCUGGAGUGAAGACAAGACACAUAGAAAAAGAGAAAACGGAGUGAUUCAAGGCGUGACUGAACCAAAAACCUCGGCGACGCACAAACUGAGACUCGGAAUGCCAAACCAACCCUGGGGUGGAGACGAGACAAUAAAAGGAGAGAAAACAGAGUGAUUCAAGGCGUGACUAAACCAAAAGCCUCGGCGAAUGCACAAACCGAGACUCAGAAUGCCGAACCAACCUUGGAGCGAAGACAAGACUCAAAAGGAGAGAAAAUGGAGAUUCAAGGCGUGACUGAACCAGAAACCGAGCCUCAGAAGGCCGAACCAAGCCUGGGACAGAGACAAGCCUCGGUAAAAUGAGAGAAAACGGAGUGAUUCAAGGCGUGACUGAACCAGAAACUGAGCCUCAGAAUGCCAAACCAACCCUGGAGCGAAGACAAGACUCACAAAAAGAGAGAAAACG
Long non-coding RNA from Eriocheir sinensis (Chinese mitten crab), 4098 nucleotides. RefSeq lists it as uncharacterized. The record is from RefSeq and is a predicted model, not a curated record. Lineage: Eukaryota; Metazoa; Arthropoda; Malacostraca; Decapoda; Varunidae. The transcript has 2 exons.